RNAcentral lists this ribosomal RNA (305 nucleotides) under uncultured bacterium. RNAcentral's name for it is "bacterial SSU rRNA". It matches the Rfam family "Bacterial small subunit ribosomal RNA", at positions 335 to 637 of the family's 1533-position model. The record is from RNAcentral.
GGUCCCUACGGAACGCAGCAGUGAGGAAUAUUGGUCAAUGGUCGGGAGACUGAACCAGCCAAGCCGCGUGAGGGAGGAAGGUACAGAGUAUCGUAAACCUCUUUUGUCAGGGAACAAAGGCGGGGACGUGUCCCCGGAUGAGUGUACCUGAAGAAAAAGCAUCGGCUAACUCCGUGCCAGCAGCCGCGGUAAUACGGAGGAUGCGAGCGUUAUCCGGAUUUAUUGGGUUUAAAGGGUGCGCAGGCGGUCUGUUAAGUCAGCGGUCAAAGCCCGGGGCUCAACCCAGGCCCGCCGUUGAAACUGGG